UUCUUUCAGACGCAGCCAGAUGGAAUCCGUGGCAGAGGGCCCCGUCCCGGGUGAGGGGGGUCCCCCGAGAAGGAACUAAAGCCAGAUAGUAGCGGUCAAGGUAAGUGGGCAAGGUGAGCAGUGAGCGGUGGCAGGCAGCAGUUGUUCUUGCUCCGGUCUCAAUUCCCGGUGCAGCUCUUAGGCUCCGUUCUUGUUUGCGUGCUCUAGGCGGUCCGCUCGUAUUACGCCGAGACCCCCCUCAGCAACGGGGCCGCAGACCCCCGCUUCGUCACUCUCGUGGGAAUUCGGGAAGCAGUGCACGGAACUGUGAUGAAGCCUUGAUCUUUGUCGUUUGAAGGUGUCACCCGGGGAGCCUUCAGGAGCGGCCGAGGAAUUGCUGCAGACCCUGCCGCGAGGGCAUCGGCCUCCGGGCGCGGCCAGAUGAGGCGGACGUUCUUAGGAGAAUGGUGAGUAGCAGAAUUG
Molecule: long non-coding RNA, 462 nt
Organism: Vidua macroura (Pin-tailed whydah)
Lineage: Eukaryota; Metazoa; Chordata; Aves; Passeriformes; Viduidae
Exons: 3
Source: RefSeq, a predicted model, not a curated record